RNAcentral lists this ribosomal RNA (459 nucleotides) under uncultured Treponema sp. RNAcentral describes it as "partial 16S ribosomal RNA". It matches the Rfam family "Bacterial small subunit ribosomal RNA", at positions 341 to 792 of the family's 1533-position model. The record is from RNAcentral. Lineage: Bacteria; Pseudomonadati; Spirochaetota; Spirochaetia; Treponematales; Treponemataceae.
ACGGAAGGCAGCAGCUAAGAAUAUUCCGCAAUGGACGAAAGUCUGACGGAGCGACGCCGCGUGGAUGAUGAAGGUCGAAAGAUUGUAAAAUCCUUUUAGGAGUGAAGAAUAAGAGGUGCAGGGAAUGGCAUCACGGUGACGGUAGCUCCUGAAUAAGCAACGGCUAAUUACGUGCCAGCAGCCGCGGUAACACGUAAGUUGCGAGCGUUGUUCGGAAUUAUUGGGCGUAAAGGGUAUGUAGGCGGUCGUGCAAGCUUGGUGUGAAAGGCAGGGGCUCAACCCCUGGACUGCAUUGAGAACUGCAUGACUUGAAUUGCUGAAGGGCAGCCGGAAUUCCAGGUGUAGGGGUGAAAUCUGUAGAUAUCUGGAAGAAUACCAAUGGCGAAGGCAGGUUACCAGCAGAUGACUGACGCUGAGGUGCGAAGGUGCGGGGAGCAAACAGGAUUAGAUACCCUGGUA